CUCAGUGGUUCAGUUGAUAAAGCUUUGUGUUUUACUCCAGGAGAUCUGAGUUCAAAUCUCACUACUGCUUACUUUAAAUUGAUCUCAGACAACAAAGUCACUCAAAUGCCAAAAAACAACAAGCAAUCCAUGAUGGGUAAGUGGAUAAACACACAUUCUCUGAGGAUGAGCUUGCAAUGGAGACAUGGGUUCAAAACCCACCUCCAAAAAUCACAGACCCAGCUUACUUUAACUUCUUUAUUGGGAAAUCACAGGUAAACAGUCAAAUAUAAGUUCCUUCUGGUGGUUCAACAAGAGACCUGUGGCUCACAGGUAAGAGCGCUGCCUCACGGUUCAGAGGUUGCUGGUUCAAUCCCAGCCAGGUCUCUGCGAUAUGAGUGAAUGGUGGAGUGUGUGUGAAGGCGCGCCCAAAGAAGGGGGAUAUCAUUACGGUCUCCCCCUGGAGCUUCGGGCACUGUGACCAGCAGCGGUUAUGCUUUUGGACAGACGAAAAAAAAAAUAAAAAAUUAAAGCUGCAUUAAAAACUCUCAUCCCCC
Molecule: long non-coding RNA, 536 nt
Organism: Cyprinus carpio carpio
Lineage: Eukaryota; Metazoa; Chordata; Actinopteri; Cypriniformes; Cyprinidae
Source: Ensembl